CCAGCAGCUGCGGUAAUUCCAGCUCCAAUAGCGUAUAUUUAAGUUGCUGCAGUUAAAAAGCUCGUAGUCGGUUUUCGGGCGGGUUGCGCCGGUCUGCCUUUGGUAUGCACUGGCGUGUCCCGCUUUACUGUCGGGGACGGGCUCCUGGGCUUUACUGUCCGGGACCCGGAGUCGACGCUGUUACCUUGAGUAAAUUGGAGUGUUCAAAGCAGGCAUACGCUCUGAACAUAUUAGCAUGGAAUAACGUUAUAGGACUCUGGCCUAUUUCGUUGGUCUGUGGGACCGGAGUAACGACCAAUGGGGGCAGUCGGGGGCAUUCGUAUUUCGUUGUCAGAGGUGAAAUUCUUGGAUUUACGAAAGACGAACUGCUGCGAAAGCGUUUGCCAAGGAUGCUUUCGUCGAUCAAGAACGAAAGU
This 416-nucleotide ribosomal RNA is filed under the name uncultured eukaryote. RNAcentral's name for it is "SSU rRNA". It matches the Rfam family "Eukaryotic small subunit ribosomal RNA", at positions 567 to 990 of the family's 1831-position model. The record is from RNAcentral.